Molecule: ribosomal RNA, 234 nt
Filed under: uncultured fungus
Lineage: Eukaryota; Fungi
Description: partial 18S ribosomal RNA
Rfam family: Eukaryotic small subunit ribosomal RNA
Source: RNAcentral
AAGAUUAAGCCAUGCAUGUCUAAGUAUAAGCAACUAUACUGUGAAACUGCGAAUGGCUCAUUAAAUCAGUUAUCGUUUAUUUGAUAGUGCCGUUUACUACUUGGAUAACCGUGGUAAUUCUAGAGCUAAUACAUGCACAGAGCCCCGACUUCGGAAGGGGUGUAUUUAUUAGAUAAAAAACCAAUGCCCUUUUUUGGGCUAGAUGGUGAAUCAUGAUAACGCAACGAAUCGCAU